GAAGGGACAAUUUGCGGGAGGACGCUUUUUGGACUGUAAACCGCUUUUCUCUAGGAAGAUGAUGACGGUACUAGAGGAAUCAGCAUCGGCUAACUUCGUGCCAGCAGCCGCGGUAAUACGAGGGAUGCAAGCGUUAUCCGGAAUUACUGGGCGUAAAGCGUUCGUAGGUGGCUAAGUCAGUCUGUUGUUAAAACGUGGAGCUUAACUCCAUAUCGGCAAUGGAAACUGCCUAGCUAGAGUAUGGUAGGGGUAACAGGAAUUCCCAGUGUAGCGGUGAAAUGCGUAGAUAUUGGGAAGAACACCAGCGGCGAAAGCGUGUUACUGGGCCAUUACUGACACUGAGGGACGAAAGCUAGGGGAGCGAAAGGGAUUAGAUACCCCUGUAGUCCUAGCCGUAAACGAUGAGAACUAGGUGUUGCGCGUAUCGACCCGCGCGGUGCCGUAGCUAACGCGUUAAGUUCUCCGCCUGGGGAGUACGCACGCAAGUGUGAAACUCAAAGGAAUUGACGGGGGCCCGCACAAGCGGUGGAGUAUGUGGUUUAAUUCGAUGCAACGCGAAGAACCUUACCAGGGUUUGACAUCCUCGGAACCUUCUGGAAACAGAAGGGUGCCUUCGGGAACCGAGAGACAGGUGGUGCAUGGCUGUCGUCAGCUCGUGUCGUGAGAUGUUGGGUUAAGUCCCGCAACGAGCGCAACCCACGUUUUUAGUUGCCAGCAUUUAGUUGGGCACUCUAGAGAGACUGCCGGUGACAAACCGGAGGAAGGUGUGGAUGACGUCAAGUCAGCAUGCCCCUUACAUCCUGGGCUACACACGUACUACAAUGCUACGGACAAAGAGCAGCCAACCAGCAAUGGUGCGCAAAUCUCGUAAACCGUAGCUCAGUUCAGAUUGCAGGCUGCAACUCGCCUGCAUGAAGGCGGAAUCGCUAGUAAUCGCAGGUCAGCAUACUGCGGUGAAUACGUUCCCGGGCCUUGUACACACCGCCCGUCACACCAUGGGAGUUGGUCACGCCCGAAGUGGUUACCCUAACCGUAAGGAGGGGGACCCCUAAGGCAGGGCUGAUGACUGGGGUGAAGUCGUAACAAGGUAGCCGUACCGGAAGGUG
RNAcentral lists this ribosomal RNA (1106 nucleotides) under uncultured cyanobacterium. Its description in RNAcentral is "bacterial SSU rRNA". It matches the Rfam family "Bacterial small subunit ribosomal RNA", at positions 385 to 1514 of the family's 1533-position model. Lineage: Bacteria; Bacillati; Cyanobacteriota. The record is from RNAcentral.